CGCAUCGAUGAAGAACGCAGCGAAAUGCGAUAAGUAAUGUGAAUUGCAGAAUUCAGUGAAUCAUCGAAUCUUUGAACGCACCUUGCGCUCCUUGGUAUUCCGAGGAGCAUGCCUGUUUGAGUGUCAGUAAAUUCUCAAACCCAUCAGCUUUGUGUUGUUGGGCUUUGGAUGUGGAGGCUUUGCCGGCCUUUGUAGGUCAGCUCCUCUGAAAUGCAUUAGCGGA
Molecule: ribosomal RNA, 223 nt
Filed under: Lepiota flammeotincta
Lineage: Eukaryota; Fungi; Basidiomycota; Agaricomycetes; Agaricales; Agaricaceae
Description: 5.8S ribosomal RNA
Rfam family: 5.8S ribosomal RNA (bases 1-126)
About the family: 5.8S ribosomal RNA (5.8S rRNA) is a component of the large subunit of the eukaryotic ribosome. It is transcribed by RNA polymerase I as part of the 45S precursor that also contains 18S and 28S rRNA.
Source: RNAcentral